UUGAGGUAAAGUAAAAGUAGGAUAGAGAUCCCAAUCUAGUUAAGUUGAAAGAAUCAAUAAAGAUCAGAAAGUGGAGGUUGUAUCCCAAGGGGGAUAUGGUGUUUUACGUUGUCAAGAUAGAUUGGGUGUGCCUGAUGUAGAAGAUUUGAGGCAACGAAUUCUUGCAGAAGUGCAUGGUGCGCGUUACUCUAUUCAUCUAGGGGCCACUAAGAUGUACCAUAAUUUGUGGGAGAUCUAUUG
This 240-nucleotide long non-coding RNA is filed under the name Capsicum annuum. RNAcentral's name for it is "long non-coding RNA (CANN_LNC000816)". The record is from RNAcentral. Lineage: Eukaryota; Viridiplantae; Streptophyta; Magnoliopsida; Solanales; Solanaceae.